Molecule: ribosomal RNA, 492 nt
Filed under: uncultured bacterium
Lineage: Bacteria
Description: partial 16S ribosomal RNA
Rfam family: Bacterial small subunit ribosomal RNA
Source: RNAcentral
AGUGAACGCUGGCGGUAGGCCUAACACAUGCAAGUCGAACGGCAGCACAGUAAGAGCUUGCUCUUACGGGUGGCGAGUGGCGGACGGGUGAGGAAUACAUCGGAAUCUACUUUUUCGUGGGGGAUAACGUAGGGAAACUUACGCUAAUACCGCAUACGACCUACGGGUGAAAGCAGGGGAUCUUCGGACCUUGCGCGAUUGAAUGAGCCGAUGUCGGAUUAGCUAGUUGGCGGGGUAAAGGCCCACCAAGGCGACGAUCCGUAGCUGGUCUGAGAGGAUGAUAAGCCACACUGGAACUGAGACACGGUCCAGACUCCUACGGGAGGCAGCAGUGGGGAAUAGUGGACAAUGGGCGCAAGCCUGAUCCAACCAUACCGCGUGGGUGAAGAAGGCCUUCGGGUUGUAAAGCCCUUUUGUGGGGAAAGAAAAGCAGCAGGUUAAUACCCCGCUGUUCUGACGGUACCCAAAGAAUAAGCACCGGCUAACUUCGUG